This 354-nucleotide ribosomal RNA is filed under the name Triticum aestivum (bread wheat). RNAcentral's name for it is "partial small subunit ribosomal RNA". Lineage: Eukaryota; Viridiplantae; Streptophyta; Magnoliopsida; Poales; Poaceae. The record is from RNAcentral.
AUGACUAUAAACUGGCUAAUUCCUGCAGCCAAUCUGCUGUUGGAAGAAUCGGUUGAGGCAUUAAAUGUUCAAGGCUUACGCUCGGCUUCUACCAACGAACCGACCAUUGUUGUGUUUGUUGGCAUGCUGGUCAGUCUAUUUUCAUGUGAAUUAGUGUACUUGCCCAAAGAAAUGCAGUUUGUCUGCAUGGCAAGGACAUGUAGAACUUGCAAAAAUAUAAACGGUAUAUUUUUUGAAUGGUUCAAUGUCAUAGGGUAUGCUAGCAGACAAGUAUACUUCAACUGCGGCAAGACUUUGAUGACGCGGAACCGUCAACAUGUUUGUCUGACCUCGUCGGCGAAAUCCGCUCCAUGA